GAUGAACGCUGGCGGCGUGCCUAAUACAUGCAAGUCGAGCGAACAGAUGAGGAGCUUGCUCCUCUGACGUUAGCGGCGGACGGGUGAGUAACACGUGGAUAACCUACCUAUAAGACUGGGAUAACUUCGGGAAACCGGAGCUAAUACCGGAUAAUAUAUUGAACCGCAUGGUUCAAUAGUGAAAGACGGUUUUGCUGUCACUUAUAGAUGGAUCCGCGCCGCAUUAGCUAGUUGGUAAGGUAACGGCUUACCAAGGCAACGAUGCGUAGCCGACCUGAGAGGGUGAUCGGCCACACUGGAACUGAGACACGGUCCAGACUCCUACGGGAGGCAGCAGUAGGGAAUCUUCCGCAAUGGGCGAAAGCCUGACGGAGCAACGCCGCGUGAGUGAUAAAGGUCUUCGGAUCGUAAAACUCUGUUAUUAGGGAAGAACAAAUGUGUAAGUAACUAUGCACGUCUUGACGGUACCUAAUCAGAAAGCCACGGCUAACUACGUG
This 497-nucleotide ribosomal RNA is filed under the name uncultured bacterium. Its description in RNAcentral is "partial 16S ribosomal RNA". It matches the Rfam family "Bacterial small subunit ribosomal RNA", at positions 28 to 507 of the family's 1533-position model. The record is from RNAcentral.